Non-coding RNA from Erinaceus europaeus (western European hedgehog), 522 nucleotides. NCBI's taxonomy places the organism in Eukaryota, Metazoa, Chordata, Mammalia, Eulipotyphla, Erinaceidae. The record is from the annotation of a RefSeq genome assembly.
GAGAUGUCCAGUCUUAUCCUGCCUGACUCUUCCAGGGAUUCCUGGCUUCUCUGUUGUGUGGUCCUUUGUCUCCUGGGGACAGGUACAGGGGAUAGUGGAGUCAUUCAGAGCCCAAGACAUGUGAUCAAAAGCAGAAGAGAGAUGGUCAAUCUGAACUGCCAUCCCAAGUCUGGACAUAACACUGUAUAUUGGUAUCAGCAGGUGCUGGGUCAGAGCCUCCAGUUCCUUGUGAGUUACUUUGCAAAGGAGCAGGGAGAGAAAGGAUCCAUCCCUGAUCACUUCUCAGUUCAGCAAUUUGAUAACUAUAGCUCAGUACUGAACAUGAAGUCUUUGGAGCCAGGAGACUCAGCCCUGUAUCUGUGUGCCAGCAGUUUACACAGCCCUGCAUGUCCCCUGGCUUUCUGUACCCAAACUUCCUGUACUCAACUAGUUUCAAUCUCUUCUUCUUGGAAAGUCUACACUCUACUUACUGAACAAUCUUCAGGCCUCACAAUCAAGUUUAUUAAGAAACCUAGGAGGUAG